GUUUUGUGCUCCUCUUCCAGAAGACAGGAGGGGUCUCUGGUGGUUUCCUGCUCUCAGGGCACCUAGUGUUUAGGCUUCAGGAAGAAGCUUCUGAGGGUGUCGGCUAGGACCUAGGUCUAGGCUUUUCCUAGGCUCAUCAAGUUUUGUUGGCUGCCCUGUGAAAGCCAGAAAGGCGUAUGGGGUCCUGUGAUCUGGGAUUCCCCAAGGCUUUUGGCAGUCCUGGACAAAUACUAGGAAGGGUUAGUGGGCUUUCUAUAACAGCACCCCUGUAGGUGCGGGUUACAGAGAGGUGAUGGGGUGGCAGUUUCAGGUCAGACUUGGGAAGCUCUUUCUCUCUCCUUAGUCAGAGGUAAGUCCUUCAGAGCCCUCACUUGUCAGCCACAUGCCGCCCUCCCCUCUCAGGUGGAGGCUUUUGCGUAGUAGCUGUCCCAGGGGCUGCUAGAGUAACUGAAGCCCCAAGGCCCUGGGAAGAUAAAUAGUCUGAACCAGCUCUGGCUUUCUAGAUCCUUGAAUUUCUGUUAGGCUCAAUUAUCCAGCCUAAUGGGCUGCGCUGAUGGGUCCCAGGAGCAUCACU
This 574-nucleotide small RNA is filed under the name Pongo abelii (Sumatran orangutan). RNAcentral's name for it is "processed transcript". Lineage: Eukaryota; Metazoa; Chordata; Mammalia; Primates; Hominidae. The record is from RNAcentral.